UAUGUGGUGGAUUAUGUUUAUAGACUUGCAUCUGUUGAACCAGCCUUGUAUCCCCAGGAUGAAGCCUAGUUGAUCAUGUCGGAUAAGCUUUUUGAUGUGCCAUUGCAAUGGGUUUGCCAGUAUAUAAUUGAAGAUUUUUGCAUCUAUGUUCAUCAUGGAUAUUGGCCUGAAGUUUUCUUUUUUUGUUGAGUCUCUGAAAGGUUUUAGUAUCAGGAUGAUGUUGUUAUCAUAAAACGAUUUGGGAAGGAUUACCUCUAUUUGUAUUUUUUGAGAUAGUUUCAGAU
Molecule: long non-coding RNA, 284 nt
Organism: Sapajus apella (tufted capuchin)
Lineage: Eukaryota; Metazoa; Chordata; Mammalia; Primates; Cebidae
Exons: 3
Source: RefSeq, a predicted model, not a curated record